AGAGAAUUAGUUAAAGCAAUAAUAUCAGGUUGUCAAGCUGAAGUUGCUGUGGUUACCAGCAUUCUCGG
This 68-nucleotide transfer RNA is filed under the name Ceraesignum maximum. Its description in RNAcentral is "tRNA-Asp". It matches the Rfam family "tRNA". Rfam says of the family: Transfer RNA (tRNA) molecules are approximately 80 nucleotides in length. The record is from RNAcentral. Lineage: Eukaryota; Metazoa; Mollusca; Gastropoda; Littorinimorpha; Vermetidae.